GGGGGUGUACUGGAUUCGACGGGAAGAGUAAAUCCGUACGUGGCAUGUCGAGGAUGUCCAAUGGUUCUCGUUAAACAUCCAUUAUGGACUAAAUGUAAUUGACAACAAUUACUCAUACCGCUUAGCAGCCUAACAGCCUAAGCCGUUCCAUGGGUGGCACGCCUGUCUGUGCCCAUUCGGAGCGACGAUUCCGACAGGAUAGUAUAUACUGGCCGUCUGUCUAGUAUGUAUGAAAUUUUUCAGACUAGCUAUAGUUCACUGGGUUACUGGGUUCGUUCUAUGGCGAAAUUUAAUCAGUAACUAAACAUGUAGAUAUGUGCAGGACUGCCUUUUCGGACCGGGGUUCGACUCCCCGCACCUCCACUU
RNAcentral lists this transfer-messenger RNA (366 nucleotides) under Balneolaceae. RNAcentral describes it as "UBA1275 sp002457365 Standard tmRNA". It matches the Rfam family "transfer-messenger RNA". From Rfam's summary of the family: Bacterial tmRNA, also known as 10Sa RNA or SsrA, is named for its dual tRNA and mRNA-like properties. Its role is to liberate the mRNA from a stalled ribosome. To accomplish this part of the tmRNA is used as a reading frame that ends in a translation stop signal. RNAcentral also lists the same sequence under 2 other names. Lineage: Bacteria; Pseudomonadati; Balneolota; Balneolia; Balneolales. The record is from RNAcentral.